GUUCCUACGGGGCGCAGCAGUGGGGAAUAUUGCACAAUGGGGGAAACCCUGAUGCAGCGACGCCGCGUGAGCGAUGAAGUAUUUCGGUAUGUAAAGCUCUAUCAGCAGGGAAGAAAAUGACGGUACCUGACUAAGAAGCCCCGGCUAACUACGUGCCAGCAGCCGCGGUAAUACGUAGGGGGCAAGCGUUAUCCGGAUUUACUGGGUGUAAAGGGAGCGUAGACGGUCCUGCAAGCCAGAUGUGAAAGCCCGGGGCUCAACGUGGGAACUGCCUUUGAAACUGGCAAACUGGAG
This 294-nucleotide ribosomal RNA is filed under the name uncultured bacterium. RNAcentral describes it as "partial 16S ribosomal RNA". It matches the Rfam family "Bacterial small subunit ribosomal RNA", at positions 335 to 646 of the family's 1533-position model. The record is from RNAcentral.